RNAcentral lists this long non-coding RNA (201 nucleotides) under Hordeum vulgare. Its description in RNAcentral is "long non-coding RNA (HVUL_LNC006591)". The record is from RNAcentral. Lineage: Eukaryota; Viridiplantae; Streptophyta; Magnoliopsida; Poales; Poaceae.
AUUGAUAUAUAGGAUGGUAUCAUUUAGUUACCGGAAGGUUUUCGGGCAUUACCGGCAUUGUACCGGGAGUGACGAAUGGGUUCCGGAAGUUCAUCAGGAGGGGGGAAACCCACCUGGGGGAAGCCCAAUGGCCUUAGGGGUGGUGGGACAGCCCAAGAGGGCAUUGGUGCCAAGAGAAGAAAACCAAAGAAAAAGAAAAAA